CAUUCACGGAGAGUUUGAUCCUGGCUCAGGACGAACGCUGGCGGCGUGCUUAACACAUGCAAGUCGAACGAUGAAGCCCUU
Molecule: ribosomal RNA, 81 nt
Filed under: Streptomyces sp. NRRL B-1568
Lineage: Bacteria; Bacillati; Actinomycetota; Actinomycetes; Kitasatosporales; Streptomycetaceae
Also listed under: 1 other name
Description: partial 16S ribosomal RNA
Rfam family: Bacterial small subunit ribosomal RNA
Source: RNAcentral